RNAcentral lists this ribosomal RNA (510 nucleotides) under uncultured bacterium. Its description in RNAcentral is "partial 16S ribosomal RNA". It matches the Rfam family "Bacterial small subunit ribosomal RNA", at positions 28 to 507 of the family's 1533-position model. The record is from RNAcentral.
GACGAACGCUGGCGGCGUGCUUAACACAUGCAAGUCGAACGAAGAGCGAUGGAAGCUUGCUUCUAUCAAUCUUAGUGGCGAACGGGUGAGUAACGCGUAAUCAACCUGCCCUUCAGAGGGGGACAACAGUUGGAAACGACUGCUAAUACCGCAUACGAUCUAAUCUCGGCAUCGAGGAUAGAUGAAAGGUGGCCUCUACAUGUAAGCUAUCACUGAAGGAGGGGAUUGCGUCUGAUUAGCUAGUUGGAGGGGUAACGGCCCACCAAGGCGAUGAUCAGUAGCCGGUCUGAGAGGAUGAACGGCCACAUUGGGACUGAGACACGGCCCAGACUCCUACGGGAGGCAGCAGUGGGGAAUCUUCCGCAAUGGACGAAAGUCUGACGGAGCAACGCCGCGUGAGUGAUGACGGCCUUCGGGUUGUAAAGCUCGGUUAAUCGGGACGAAAGGCCUUCUUGCGAAUAGUGAGAAGGAUUGACGGUACCGGAAUAGAAAGCCAUGGCUAACUACGUG